GGAGAUAUAGCUCAAUGGUAUAGUGCCUGCCUGGCAAGUAUAAGGUCCUGAGUUCAAUUCCCAGUACCA
This 69-nucleotide transfer RNA is filed under the name Cavia porcellus (domestic guinea pig). It matches the Rfam family "tRNA". From Rfam's summary of the family: Transfer RNA (tRNA) molecules are approximately 80 nucleotides in length. Their secondary structure includes four short double-helical elements and three loops (D, anti-codon, and T loops). Lineage: Eukaryota; Metazoa; Chordata; Mammalia; Rodentia; Caviidae. The record is from Rfam by way of RNAcentral.